Molecule: non-coding RNA, 187 nt
Filed under: Rhodanobacteraceae bacterium
Lineage: Bacteria; Pseudomonadati; Pseudomonadota; Gammaproteobacteria; Lysobacterales; Rhodanobacteraceae
Description: 6S RNA
Rfam family: 6S / SsrS RNA
About the family: E. coli 6S RNA was the first non coding RNA to be sequenced, but its function was unknown until recently. It consists of 184 nucleotides that fold into an extended hairpin structure with a large single-stranded internal bulge. The 6S RNA specifically associates with RNA polymerase holoenzyme containing the sigma70 specificity factor.
Source: RNAcentral
CGUCCUCUGCGUUGUUCGACAGCGCGUCCGCAAUAUACCUUGACCCUGUUUUUCGACCUUGGGAAGAGCUCCAGACCGCGCAUGCGCUUGUCCGCCUCGCAGCGGACCGCCUUUAGCGGUUCUCUUCUUCCCACCUGAUCCCUCGGAUCAAGGUCGUGAGACCCGCAUCGGCAUCGGCGGAGGACCC